AACUUUCGGCAAUGGAUCACUUGGCACUCGCAUCGAUGAAGAACGCAGCGAAAUGCGAUAAGUAAUGUGAAUUGCAGAAUUCAGUGAAUCAUCGAAUCUUUGAACGCAUCUUGCGCUCCAUGGUAUUCCGUGGAGCAUGCCUGUUUGAGUGUCAUUCAAGUUCUCAACCACAACUGGAUUCCUUUUUCUGUUGUGGCUUGGAUUGGUGGGGGAUUUGCUGGCUUUCACAAGUCUGCUCCCCUGAAAUGCAUUAGUGGUAUGAGCUACUACGUGGUGUGAUAAAUUUAUCUAUGCCCUGCUAGUGUGCAGCUGUAUACUGCUUCUAACAAAAACUUUAUUUGUUUGAUGAAUUUGACCUCAAAUCAGGUAGGACUACCCGCUGAACUUAAGCAUAUCAAUAAGCGGAGGCU
RNAcentral lists this unclassified non-coding RNA (410 nucleotides) under uncultured Inocybe. RNAcentral's name for it is "sequence contains ITS2". The stretch from base 1 to 154 matches the Rfam family "5.8S ribosomal RNA". Lineage: Eukaryota; Fungi; Basidiomycota; Agaricomycetes; Agaricales; Cortinariaceae. The record is from RNAcentral.